UUCUGUACCUGCAUGAGAAAAUCACCAUAGCCCCUUCAAGAGAGGUCACUGGCGGUGCAAUGGGGUUUCGUAAAUCCCCGAUCCUCAACCGACUCAUCAAUAAAUUGACUCAUAGUCAGAGAGUUGCCGAUCUUCUAUAAAUAGGAAAUCCAUUCCGAUUGGAUCCAGAUAUGUUCUUAUCUGUGGAGGGAGACGAGAAUCCUGAAGAUUUGGCAAUUGAGAUCCUCGUUUCCUCCUUACACCUGUAAAGGCAUCAACCA
RNAcentral lists this long non-coding RNA (260 nucleotides) under Daucus carota (carrot). RNAcentral's name for it is "long non-coding RNA (DCAR_LNC004885)". The record is from RNAcentral. Lineage: Eukaryota; Viridiplantae; Streptophyta; Magnoliopsida; Apiales; Apiaceae.